Molecule: ribosomal RNA, 400 nt
Filed under: uncultured bacterium
Lineage: Bacteria
Description: bacterial SSU rRNA
Rfam family: Bacterial small subunit ribosomal RNA
Source: RNAcentral
UAGGGAAUCUUGGACAAUGGGCGAAAGCCUGAUGGAGCGACGCCGCGUGAGGGAUGAAGGCCUUAGGGUUGUAAACCUCUAAAAGAGGGACGAUAAUGACGGUACCUCUUGAAUAGCACCGGCUAACUCCGUGCCAGCAGCCGCGGUAAUACGGAGGGUGCAAGCGUUAUCCGGAAUCACUGGGCGUAAAGGGCGCGUAGGCGGUCUGUUAAGUCCGAUGUUAAAUCCCGGGGCUCAACCCCGGAUAAGCGUUGGAUACUGGCAGGCUAGACGGUUGGAGAGGCGAGUGGAAUUACCAGUGUAGCGGUGGAAUGCGUAGAUACUGGUAGGAACACCCAUUGCGAAGGCAGCUCGCUGGACAACACGUGACGCUGAGGCGCGAAAGUGUGGGGAGCAAACC